CCCUUAGAUGUUCUGGGCUGCACGCGCGCUACACUGAUGCGCUCAACGAGUUUUCGAACUUGCCCGGAAGGGUUGGUUAAUCUUUUUAAAACGCAUCGUGAUGGGGAUAGAUUAUUGCAAUUAUUAAUCUUCAACGAGGAAUUCCUAGUAAGCGCGAGUCAUCAGCUCGUGCUGAUUACGUCCCUGCCCUUUGCACACACCGCCCAUCGCUCCUACCGAUUGAGUGAUCCGGUGAAUAAUUCGGACUGCAGUCGUGUUCAGUUCCUGAACGUGGCAGCGGAAAGUUUAGUGAACCUUAUCACUUAGAGGAAGGAGAAGUCGUAACA
Molecule: ribosomal RNA, 326 nt
Filed under: uncultured eukaryote
Lineage: Eukaryota
Description: partial 18S ribosomal RNA
Rfam family: Eukaryotic small subunit ribosomal RNA
Source: RNAcentral